GGCGGCGUGCCUAACACAUGCAAGUCGAGCGGAGACAGUGAGUAGCUUGCUAUGAGCUGUUUUAGCGGCGGACGGGUGAGUAACGCGUGAGGAACCUGCCUUUCAGAGGGGGACAACAGUUGGAAACGACUGCUAAUACCGCAUAACAUAUAGAUGUCGCAUGGCAUUUAUAUCAAAGAUUUAUCGCUGAAAGAUGGCCUCGCGUCUGAUUAGCUAGUUGGUGAGGUAACGGCCCACCAAGGCGACGAUCAGUAGCCGGACUGAGAGGUUGAACGGCCACAUUGGGACUGAGAUACGGCCCAGACUCCUACGGGAGGCAGCAGUGGGGAAUAUUGGGCAAUGGGCGCAAGCCUGACCCAGCAACGCCGCGUGAAGGAAGAAGGCUUUCGGGUUGUAAACUUCUUUUGUCAGGGACGAGUAGAAGACGGUACCUGACGAAUAAGCCACGGCUAACUACGUG
Molecule: ribosomal RNA, 460 nt
Filed under: uncultured bacterium
Lineage: Bacteria
Description: bacterial SSU rRNA
Rfam family: Bacterial small subunit ribosomal RNA
Source: RNAcentral